Molecule: ribosomal RNA, 252 nt
Filed under: uncultured bacterium
Lineage: Bacteria
Description: partial 16S ribosomal RNA
Rfam family: Bacterial small subunit ribosomal RNA
Source: RNAcentral
UACGUAGGUGACAAGCGUUGUCCGGAUUUACUGGGCGUAAAGAGCGCGCAGGCGGUCGAUCAAGUCGAGUGUGAAAGCCCCCGGCUCAACUGGGGAGGGUCAUUCGAUACUGAUCGACUCGAAGGCAGGAGAGGGUAGUGGAAUUCCCGAUGUAGUGGUGAAAUGCGUAGAUAUCGGGAGGAACACCAGUGGCGAAGGCGACUACCUGGCCUGUUCUUGACGCUGAGGCGCGAAAGCUAGGGAGCAAACGGG